RNAcentral lists this ribosomal RNA (497 nucleotides) under uncultured bacterium. RNAcentral describes it as "partial 16S ribosomal RNA". It matches the Rfam family "Bacterial small subunit ribosomal RNA", at positions 28 to 507 of the family's 1533-position model. The record is from RNAcentral.
GAUGAACGCUGGCGGCGUGCCUAAUACAUGCAAGUCGAGCGAACAGACGGGGAGCUUGCUCCUCUGACGUUAGCGGCGGACGGGUGAGUAACACGUGGAUAACCUACCUAUAAGACUGGGAUAACUUCGGGAAACCGGAGCUAAUACCGGAUAAUAUAUUGAACCGCAUGGUUCAAUAGUGUAAGACGGUUUUGCUGUCACUUAUAGAUGGAUCCGCGCCGCAUUAGCUAGUUGGUAAGGUAACGGCUUACCAAGGCAACGAUGCGUAGCCGACCUGAGAGGGUGAUCGGCCACACUGGAACUGAGACACGGUCCAGACUCCUACGGGAGGCAGCAGUAGGGAAUCUUCCGCAAUGGGCGAAAGCUUGACGGAGCAACGCCGCGUGAGUGAUGAAGGUCUUCGGAUCGUAAAACUCUGUUAUUAGGGAAGAACAAAUGUGUAAGUAACUAUGCACGUCUUGACGGUACCUAAUCAGAAAGCCACGGCUAACUACGUG